RNAcentral lists this ribosomal RNA (721 nucleotides) under uncultured bacterium. Its description in RNAcentral is "bacterial SSU rRNA". It matches the Rfam family "Bacterial small subunit ribosomal RNA", at positions 57 to 754 of the family's 1533-position model. The record is from RNAcentral.
GCAGUCGACGCGAAAGUUCUCUUCGGAGGGCGAGUAGAGUGGCGAACGGGUGAGUAACACGUGAACAACGUACCCUUCGGUUGGGGACAACCUCGGGAAACCGGGGCUAAUACCGAAUAAGUUCUCAGAGUCGCAUGACUUCUGAGAAGAAAGCGGGGGAUCUUCGGACCUCGCACCGAUGGAGCGGUUCGCGGACCAUUAGCUUGUUGGUAGGGUAACGGCCUACCAAGGCUUCGAUGGUUAGCUGGUUUGAGAGGAUGGUCAGCCACACUGGGAUUGAGAUACGGCCCAGACUCCUACGGGAGGCAGCAGUCUAGAAGCUUCGGCAAUGGGGGAAACCCUGACCGAGCGACGCCGCGUGCAGGAUGAAGGCUUUCGAGUCGUAAACUGCUUUCAGUAGGGAAGAAAGGUGUUCGGGCUAAUAUCCCGGGCAUUUGACGGUACCUGCAGAAGAAGCCUCGGCUAAUUCCGUGCCAGCAGCCGCGGUAAUACGGGGGAGGCAAGCGUUAAUCGGAUUUAUUGGGCGUAAAGGGCAGGCAGGCGGUUUUUUAAGUCGGGUGUUAAAGACCACGGCUCACCCGUGGGGGUGCGCUCGAUACUGAAAAACUUGAGUCCAUCAGAGGCAAGCGGAGUUCCGGGUGUAGCGGUGAAAUGCGUAGAUAUCCGGAGGAACACCAGUGGCGAAGGCGGCUUGCUGGGGAUGGUACUGACGCUGAACUGC